GGUUAAGCGACUAAGCGUACACGGUGGAUGCCCUGGCAGUCAGAGGCGAUGAAGGACGUGCUAAUCUGCGAUAAGCGUCGGUGAGGUGAUAUGAACCGUUAUAACCGGCGAUUUCCGAAUGGGGAAACCCAGUGUGUUUCGACACACUAUCAUUAACUGAAUCCAUAGGUUAAUGAGGCGAACCGGGGGAACUGAAACAUCUAAGUACCCCGAGGAAAAGAAAUCAACCGAGAUUCCCCCAGUAGCGGCGAGCGAACGGGGAGGAGCCCAGAGCCUGAAUCAGUGUGUGUGUUAGUGGAAGCGUCUGGAAAGGCGCGCGAUACAGGGUGACAGCCCCGUACACAAAAAUGCACAUAUUGUGAGCUCGAUGAGUAGGGCGGGACACGUGGUAUCCUGUCUGAAUAUGGGGGGACCAUCCUCCAAGGCUAAAUACUCCUGACUGACCGAUAGUGAACCAGUACCGUGAGGGAAAGGCGAAAAGAACCCCGGCGAGGGGAGUGAAAAAGAACCUGAAACCGUGUACGUACAAGCAGUGGGAGCCUCUUAAUGGGGUGACUGCGUACCUUUUGUAUAAUGGGUCAGCGACUUAUAUUCUGUAGCAAGGUUAACCGAAUAGGGGAGCCGAAGGGAAACCGAGUCUUAACUGGGCGUUAAGUUGCAGGGUAUAGACCCGAAACCCGGUGAUCUAGCCAUGGGCAGGUUGAAGGUUGGGUAACACUAACUGGAGGACCGAACCGACUAAUGUUGAAAAAUUAGCGGAUGACUUGUGGCUGGGGGUGAAAGGCCAAUCAAACCGGGAGAUAGCUGGUUCUCCCCGAAAGCUAUUUAGGUAGCGCCUCGUGAAUUCAUCUCCGGGGGUAGAGCACUGUUUCGGCAAGGGGGUCAUCCCGACUUACCAACCCGAUGCAAACUGCGAAUACCGGAGAAUGUUAUCACGGGAGACACACGGCGGGUGCUAACGUCCGUCGUGAAGAGGGAAACAACCCAGACCGCCAGCUAAGGUCCCAAAGUCAUGGUUAAGUGGGAAACGAUGUGGGAAGGCCCAGACAGCCAGGAUGUUGGCUUAGAAGCAGCCAUCAUUUAAAGAAAGCGUAAUAGCUCACUGGUCGAGUCGGCCUGCGCGGAAGAUGUAACGGGGCUAAACCAUGCACCGAAGCUGCGGCAGCGACACUAUGUGUUGUUGGGUAGGGGAGCGUUCUGUAAGCCUGUGAAGGUGGCCUGUGAGGGUUGCUGGAGGUAUCAGAAGUGCGAAUGCUGACAUAAGUAACGAUAAAGCGGGUGAAAAGCCCGCUCGCCGGAAGACCAAGGGUUCCUGUCCAACGUUAAUCGGGGCAGGGUGAGUCGACCCCUAAGGCGAGGCCGAAAGGCGUAGUCGAUGGGAAACAGGUUAAUAUUCCUGUACUUGGUGUUACUGCGAAGGGGGGACGGAGAAGGCUAUGUUGGCCGGGCGAC
This 1452-nucleotide ribosomal RNA is filed under the name Escherichia coli. RNAcentral's name for it is "partial 23S ribosomal RNA". It matches the Rfam family "Bacterial large subunit ribosomal RNA", at positions 1 to 1499 of the family's 2925-position model. Lineage: Bacteria; Pseudomonadati; Pseudomonadota; Gammaproteobacteria; Enterobacterales; Enterobacteriaceae. The record is from RNAcentral.